RNAcentral lists this ribosomal RNA (122 nucleotides) under Parasitella parasitica. Lineage: Eukaryota; Fungi; Mucoromycota; Mucoromycetes; Mucorales; Mucoraceae. The record is from RNAcentral.
AGUUACGGCCAUAUGAUGGAGAAAACACCAGAUCCCGUCUGAUCUCUGCAGUUAAACUCCUUACAGUAUCGUCAGUACUACGGUAAGAGAUUACGUGGGAAUACGAUAUGCUGUAAUUUCAU